This 206-nucleotide ribosomal RNA is filed under the name uncultured Lachnospiraceae bacterium. RNAcentral's name for it is "partial 16S ribosomal RNA". It matches the Rfam family "Bacterial small subunit ribosomal RNA", at positions 289 to 514 of the family's 1533-position model. Lineage: Bacteria; Bacillati; Bacillota; Clostridia; Lachnospirales; Lachnospiraceae. The record is from RNAcentral.
GGCCUGAGAGGGUGAACGGCCACAUUGGGACUGAGACACGGCCCAGACUCUUACGGGAGGCAGCAGUGGGGAAUAUUGCACAAUGGGGGAAACUAUGAUGCAGCGACGCCGCGUGAAGGAAGAAGUAUUUCGGUAUGUAAAACUCUAUCAGCAGGGAAGAAAUGACGUACCUGACUAAGAAGCACCGGCUAAAUACGUGCCAGCAG